AGGAUAAACGCUGGCGGCGUGCCUAAAACAUGCAAGUCGAACGGUCACCUUUCGGGGUGGUAGUGGCGAACGGCUGAGUAACACGUGGAUGACCUGCCCUCGAACGGGGAUAACUGCCCGAAAGGGUGGCUAAUACCGCAGACAUCAUGGGUUCGUUCUCAUGAUUGAACCGCUACAGGGUUCGGGAGGGUCCGCGGCCGAUUAGCUAGCUGGUGGGGUAAUGGCCUACCAGGGCGUCGAUCGGUAGCUGGUCUGAGAGGAUGAUCAGCCAGACUGGGACUGCGAACGGCCCAGACUCCUACGGGAGGCAGCAGUUAGGAAUUUUGGGCAAUGGGCGAAAGCCUGACCCAGCAACGCCGCGUGGGUGAUGAAGGUCCUCGGGUCGUAAACCCCUUUCAGCAGGGACGAAAUCAGACGGUACCUGCAGAAGAAGCUCCGGCCAACUACGUGCCAGCAGCCGC
RNAcentral lists this ribosomal RNA (461 nucleotides) under uncultured bacterium. Its description in RNAcentral is "SSU rRNA". It matches the Rfam family "Bacterial small subunit ribosomal RNA", at positions 26 to 518 of the family's 1533-position model. The record is from RNAcentral.